Molecule: ribosomal RNA, 345 nt
Filed under: Triticum aestivum (bread wheat)
Lineage: Eukaryota; Viridiplantae; Streptophyta; Magnoliopsida; Poales; Poaceae
Description: partial small subunit ribosomal RNA
Source: RNAcentral
GUGUUAUGCAACAAUGAAGACUAUGAAGACAGGACUCAUCUUCUAUUCACUUGUCCAUUUAGUCAAGGUUUCUGGUGGAACAUUGGAUUUGAAUGGAAUUCGGAUAUGGAGAUCAACAAUAUGAUUAUUGAUGCUAAACACAGAUAUAAAAUUGACCACUUCAUGGAAAUCAUGAUUCUUGGUUGCUGGAGCAUAUGGAACCAAAGGAAUGGGAUGAUUUUUGAAGGGAUACCUUGCUCAAUAAAUGAUUGCAAGAUUGACUUUGUCAGAUAUUUCAAAAUGACCAUGCUGAGGGCUAAACCCACUCUAAAAGAGGGCAUGUCUUCAUGGAUAGACAAUAUUUAA